This 367-nucleotide transfer-messenger RNA is filed under the name Candidatus Kinetoplastidibacterium galati. RNAcentral describes it as "Kinetoplastibacterium galatii Standard tmRNA". It matches the Rfam family "transfer-messenger RNA". From Rfam's summary of the family: Bacterial tmRNA, also known as 10Sa RNA or SsrA, is named for its dual tRNA and mRNA-like properties. Its role is to liberate the mRNA from a stalled ribosome. The record is from RNAcentral. Lineage: Bacteria; Pseudomonadati; Pseudomonadota; Betaproteobacteria.
GGGGCCGAUUAGGAUUCGACGUUGAUUAGAAGAUAGAUCAUAGCAUGUCGAGCACCAGUUAGCUCGAUAAUCCACUGGAAAAAAUAUAAACGCCAACAAUUCGCGUUUCAAGUUAGCAGCCUAGAGCUCUGACCGUUGCACUGGUUUUUUUCUUGGGCCAGAUGAUACUUGUAUCAUAGCAACGUCAUAUACAAGAAAUAUGUUUGCAAUAUUUUCACGAUAUGCAAAUUGAAUAUAAAAGUGAAUCGCCUUAUUAAAGGCCUGUCAAUUGGCUGAUUAUAAGGUUAAAUCCAAUAGAUUGACUACACAUGUAGAAAUGUCAUUAGAAGAUUAACGGACGGGGGUUCAAAUCCCCCCGGCUCCACCA